This is a non-coding RNA of Oryzias latipes (Japanese medaka), 982 nucleotides long. NCBI's taxonomy places the organism in Eukaryota, Metazoa, Chordata, Actinopteri, Beloniformes, Adrianichthyidae. The record is from RefSeq and is a predicted model, not a curated record.
AAUGAAAACAUUUUUACUGAAUAACCCGUUUCAAAUGAAACACCGAGCUGACACGGUAAACCCCAGACGUCUGCGGAAUGUGCGGGCGGGUCAGCGUCGCUCAAGUAACUUUCGGUUUUUUGACCAUGGCGCCAUAGUAAUCAUAUGCAUGUUAAGAGAGUCUUUGCUGCUUGUCAUAUUUCAGUUCUCCUUAUAGAGUCUAACAGGAAGUCAGAACCGAAGGCGCAGCAGACUUUGAAUGACCAUAAGCAACUACUUUGAAAAACUACAGGACACCUGGCCAUACAGAGCAUGGCACAUUCUGACUGCUAAUCUGGACCCCCACCCCCAGCUGACAACGUGCCACAACAUGAGAUGGAUGUGGAGAAGUGAAGAUGAUCAAAGAGUAUGAGGAUGUCAGCCGAGAAGCAGUGAAAGAGGACUGAACUAAUCGCUUCAAGAUUAUCUUGGUCCUUCCCAAUGAAACACAGGACAACCAAGACCCUGUGUAUGGGUCAGUCAUCAGCAAUAAUAUCCCACACCUGUUCACGUCGUCUGCGGCUGUAAGUUACUGAAACUCACCCCCACCCCCGCUUGCUUUCCUUCAGGGUUUUUCUACAGAGAGCGUAAUUAUAUCCUCACUAUGCAGCACCCGAGCGCACAGUGGCGUAUUCGUUUAAAGAAACCAGCGAGAAGAGAGGGGGGGGGGGGGCGCAGAUUGUGCCCCGUCAACCGCCCUACUGCUAUAAGAGACCUGCCUUUACAUUUGCGGUGAUAAAGUAUCACUAUAGUGUCAAAAACGCGGCAUCUAGCUCUGCUCUACGGACUAGUCUGAAAAACAAGCUAGCUAAAGCUUAGCUAUAGUCAAGCAUGACGCAAAAUGACUAAUUAGCUGGCUAAAAACAAAACCACGAGGCAUUGUUAAGGCAAGUGACUUUCUGGACCAAUGUCAAACAAUUUUAAAAGAUUAAAGUCAAGUAAAAAGACAAAAACAAUUGAAAAC